This 468-nucleotide ribosomal RNA is filed under the name uncultured Oomycota. RNAcentral's name for it is "LSU rRNA". It matches the Rfam family "Eukaryotic large subunit ribosomal RNA", at positions 326 to 630 of the family's 3401-position model. Lineage: Eukaryota; Oomycota. The record is from RNAcentral.
GUGCGAGACCGAUAGCGAACAAGUACCGUGAGGGAAAGAUGAAAAGAACUUUGAAAAGAGAGUUAAAGAGUACCUGAAACUGCUGAAAGGGAAGCGAAUCGUAUCCAGUGUCUAUAAUCUGCGGCAUAUUUCAUUGGCGGCAGUGUGCGUGCUUUUGCGUCGGAAGCGGCUUUUGUUGCUCUGUGCUUCUGCUGUGCGUGCUGUUGCUGGUGCCCUGUGUUGCGGUGGGACGUCAGAGUCAGUUCGUAUGCUGCGGGAAAUGGCCGCCGAGGAGGUAGGUCAGGACUUCGGUCUUGGCUGUUAUAUCUUGGUGGUUUGUUGUCGUGGUUGGGACUGAGGUGCCUACAAUGUGCUUUUGAGUGUGCCGGGUUCUCAUUUGGUGGACUGUUUGGAUAGCUUGCUAUGCUUGUGGUUUUUUCAUCGAGUGAUUGAGUCUGGUGGUAACUUGUUGCUGUUCGGGACUUUGAA